This 450-nucleotide ribosomal RNA is filed under the name uncultured bacterium. Its description in RNAcentral is "bacterial SSU rRNA". It matches the Rfam family "Bacterial small subunit ribosomal RNA", at positions 354 to 796 of the family's 1533-position model. The record is from RNAcentral.
GUGGGGAAUAUUGCACAAUGGGCGCAAGCCUGAUGCAGCCAUGCCGCGUGUGUGAAGAAGGCCUUCGGGUUGUAAAGCACUUUCAGCGGGGAGGAAGGGUCACUAGUUAAUACCUAGUGGCAUUGACGUUACUCGCAGAAGAAGCACCGGCUAACUCCGUGCCAGCAGCCGCGGUAAUACGGAGGGUGCAAGCGUUAAUCGGAAUUACUGGGCGUAAAGCGCACGCAGGCGGUUUGUUAAGUCAGAUGUGAAAUCCCCGAGCUCAACUUGGGAACUGCAUUUGAAACUGGCAAGCUAGAGUCUUGUAGAGGGGGGUAGAAUUCCAGGUGUAGCGGUGAAAUGCGUAGAGAUCUGGAGGAAUACCGGUGGCGAAGGCGGCCCCCUGGACAAAGACUGACGCUCAGGUGCGAAAGCGUGGGGAGCAAACAGGAUUAGAUACCCCAGUAGUCC